Molecule: ribosomal RNA, 355 nt
Filed under: Olbiogaster sp. DK-2014
Lineage: Eukaryota; Metazoa; Arthropoda; Insecta; Diptera; Anisopodidae
Description: 12S ribosomal RNA
Source: RNAcentral
UUAAUAUAUAAAAUUUAUAAUAUUAGAGUAGUAAUAGUUAUAUGCUUGAAACUUAAAGAAUUUGGCGGUAUUUUAGUCUUUUUAGAGGAAUCUGUUUUAUAAUCGAUAAUCCACGUUUUAUCUUACUUAAAUUUGUUUAAUUUGUAUAUCGUUGUCAUCAGAAUAUUUUAGAAAAAUUAAUUUUCUAAAUUUUUAAUUUAUAAAAAUGUCAGAUCAAGGUGCAGUUUAUAUUUAAGUAAACAAUGGAUUACAAUAAAUUUAUUUAUACGAAUUUUAAAUUGAAAUAUUUAUUUGAAGGGGGAUUUAAUAGUAAAAUAAUUAAUUAUAGUUAUUUGAUUUUAGCUCUAAAAUAUGC